This 204-nucleotide long non-coding RNA is filed under the name Elaeis guineensis (African oil palm). RNAcentral's name for it is "long non-coding RNA (EGUI_LNC007777)". Lineage: Eukaryota; Viridiplantae; Streptophyta; Magnoliopsida; Arecales; Arecaceae. The record is from RNAcentral.
GCCACCCAAAGCCCUCCAUGCCAACCUCUCUCACACGCGCAUUCUUCAGAUUAGCGUAAGUUUGUUCAUGCUAAAAACUCCUCCUUUCUCACCGCCCCAUACGGAUAAGGAUUGAUAGAUAAGGUAAGUUUGAAAUUGUUUUGAACUUGUUUCCUUAUCUAGGAGAGAUUGGAUCUCAUCCUAACUACCACAUGCCAUACCUAA